CUGUUCUCUGUCGUUUGCCGAACCUUCCAAAAAGAUAACCAAAAGAAAAACAUGGAUCUUCUAGGUAGGCAAAUCUGCAGGCAGCCACAGCAUCCUGAUUGUUUGGAGCAGAGCGCUCCAUCCUUGUCCGGUUGAACAUGCCUUUUCUUCACCACAGGUACAUAAUUUUUCUGAAAUCCCUACAGAAGUCCCUGUAUAAUUAAAUAUCAGUGAUGUAAGUUGUAACUCAGCACCUUAAACAUUUAGGUUGAAAUGAACACACACGCUGAUCAAGUACAUCUAUCAAGUGCCUCCGCUACUCCACACCUACUUAUCAAGAACAAGAGCUCUCAUUAUAAAGGCCAAAAGAUUCAGUUACUAAACUACAAUAAAAUAUAUGCUUCGUUUCUACAGAUUUCAGGUAUCAAAUUAAGAUUUAUACCUGUUUAAACAUCCAAACAACUCUUCUCCUGUGGCCUUUACGUCUCCUAGCAAUAUUUCAAUGCUAGCCAACUUAGCUUGAGAAUAAAUAACUAAUCAACAUCGACAUGAAUAAUCCAGUUAUUUUUCCGGAGAAUCCAAAAGUUGAGACAGUGCAUCAUAGAGACUAUGAUGCCUACUUUUCCACAAGGAACAAAAGAAAACCCAGCAUCCGCUACACCAAAGUAUUGCCAACAUUCUAACUAAUAUUAGAAGAUACCACUUACCCGAUGCAAUAAAUUAAGUGUUGGAUUUAUGAUAGCUGUGGCGACCUGAAUCUGGGCACAUGUGUUUUGUAACAGCGCAGAUUUUCUUUGACAACUUCGCCAAUUUUUAUAGCUUGGCAUUUUUUUGGCCAGAAACUUUCUUUCUUUUUGAUAAUUUGACUAACAGUACCUUUUAUCUUCAGUUUGGAUUGGCAGGAAAACCUGCCUCCUGUUUCCCGUCGUUUACCGAAGAACAGUGGUAACACUGAUUUCAUCUGUGGGAGCACUGGUUUCAUUCUUGCAAAACUGCUGCGUAUUUCUGUGCGUCGGAGAUGUCGAGGCUGCACAGGCAUGGUUUUCAAGCUACAUUGCUGUCGUUUAUCAUACCAUACCUUCCAUGUACUAAUACCCUGUAUUGACAUUCAGGUACUGAAUGUGUGACCUUUCUCAACCAAGUGAACCAACCAGCAGUUCGGCACAGCCCGUAGAGCAGCAAACGUACCCUGUAUUGACAUCAUCAAGGAAAUUAAGAGCAAGUACACAAUAAAGAUUUGUAUUCGGAUAAUAGCAUGCCUCCUAUCGACAUUUGAACCUAGAGAUAGCAGGACAUCGAAGAUUUGCAUUUCUUUUUCCGUAGUUUUCUUCAUCUAAGUGGAAUCCAUGAUCUUCACUAUAUCAGAACAUGAGUGUAAAAUUAAGUACAUGAUCUUUC
RNAcentral lists this long non-coding RNA (1377 nucleotides) under Triticum aestivum (bread wheat). RNAcentral's name for it is "long non-coding RNA (TAES_LNC006747)". The record is from RNAcentral. Lineage: Eukaryota; Viridiplantae; Streptophyta; Magnoliopsida; Poales; Poaceae.